GUGGAGAGAGGUUCAGCAUGACAGAGUGUGCGCAUGUAUUGGCUGAGGAACACGCACUUUGUUGUAUGUUAGUGAUUGCUCAAUUUGUUUACACGGUAACUCAUUUCUGCUACUGCUCUUUGUUCUUCAGAGAAGAUAGACAACCCAGCAGAGCAGAUCUUUGUUCCUUAUGAGCUCAUCUGCUCCUGCAGCUUGUGCCACACCUGUAAUUAUAAUUAUGGCCCACUGCUUGGGUUGCUGUAAUCCUUUCUAGUGAAACCAAUUGUGAUUUCACCAACAGAGUUACUUAGCAAAGUGAGAAUGCCUGAAUUGAUAGAAUAAGCAUCAUUAGUCCCUUUUAUUGGUUAAUUUGGCUGCACUUAGCCUUCUAUUAAGAUUCAGAUGAUUAACAUUUUUCGGUAAUAUGGAAGCAUCCGUGCACUUUCGAUGGAACUGUGAAGUUAAUAGACUGUAACUGGGCCACUCUGGACAAGCGUAAUAAGCUGAUACCAAGAGAUAAAAGAAGUGGUGCAGCUGCACCUCAGCUAUUACGUUAAUGAAGGAGAGAGAAUCCAUGUGGAAUCGCUGGAAGGAAACUGCUAAGAGAUGGUGUGGGUAAAUCAUCACAUGCUGACUAUUUUGGCCACAUCUUUCUUAUGAGUGCCUCUCCUCUUCCUUCCUGCCCACUCCUUCCCACCUCUUCUUCAUCUGGAUCACUGUUCUCAUCCUUCCAGGACUCAUAUUUGUUCUCACUCAUCUCCUCCAGGAAGCUUUACCU
Molecule: long non-coding RNA, 757 nt
Filed under: Equus caballus (horse)
Lineage: Eukaryota; Metazoa; Chordata; Mammalia; Perissodactyla; Equidae
Description: lncRNA (ENSECAG00000057428.1)
Source: RNAcentral